This 1008-nucleotide long non-coding RNA is filed under the name Populus trichocarpa (black cottonwood). RNAcentral's name for it is "long non-coding RNA (PTRI_LNC002583)". The record is from RNAcentral. Lineage: Eukaryota; Viridiplantae; Streptophyta; Magnoliopsida; Malpighiales; Salicaceae.
CUCAAAGAGCAAAGUCGAGCUUUCAGACAGGUAAUGAAUACUGCUCUACCUCUGCAUGACCUCGGGUCGAGUCAAAUUUAAAAGGACAAGGCCGAGUUUUCAUACAGGUAUAUUUAAAUGUUGUUCUACUCACCCUGAAACUUGAUAUCUACCUGGCCUCAAGUUUAUUGAUAUACUAUACAUAUAUAUAUUUAUGCCCAUGAAACCAGUGAAAUCUAUAUUUUUGUUAUUAAUUAUAGAGAGGGAGUUUAAAGAAUGAGUCGCUAAUAUCAUUUAUAUGCAACGCUCGAAGAAAUAUGGAAUUGGUGUGGUCCUUAUAGAGGCCAAUCAUGAGUGUGUGUGUGUGUGUGUGUGUGUGUGUGUGUGUGUGUGUGUACACACACACAUAUGAGUAGUUUACAUAUCAAGAAAACAAAAGAUCAAAGAGUUGAUAUGUGUGUGUGUAUAGACUUUCGUAUGUAAUCAAUGUUCAUAUUUUAUACUGAUCCAUCUAUUAGGCCCCCUCAAUCUUAGCAAGGGAAGGACCAACGCAAACAUUGGAGCGAGAGAUCUGAAACUUCGGAGCAGAGAGACCUUUGAUCAACACAUCAGUUACUUGCUUAUCAUUAGAGAUAAAUCGAACAACAAUGUCUCCCAAUUAAUUAAACAUGUUCACGAACACAGAGCAGAUCAACUUUAAUAUGUUUGGAGUGAGCAUGUAUUAAUGGCAAGAUAAGCAGUAGAUAUAUAUGUUGUCACAAAAUAUACCAGUUCUUUCACUUGUCUUUAAUUUUUUUAAAGCUUGUUGAUUAAUUAAUUAGCUGAGAAAAUAUUAAUUUAGUCUAUUUAAUUAUGAGACAUGCUGGUAAUUUAAAUGGAGUCCAAUAAAUGCACUCUGAUAAUUUAGGUAACUUUUUUCUAAAAUCAUUUGUCUUGGAAAUAUAGUUGAUAUUACAAAGCCAAACUGGGAAUUUCCCUUAAUCUGAAAAUAGCCAGGUACCUUCUUUUUUUUCUCCCAUAGAAAUCCAC